Molecule: transfer-messenger RNA, 353 nt
Filed under: Coriobacteriia
Lineage: Bacteria; Bacillati; Actinomycetota
Also listed under: 2 other names
Description: JAHIQC01 sp018902765 Standard tmRNA
Rfam family: transfer-messenger RNA
About the family: Bacterial tmRNA, also known as 10Sa RNA or SsrA, is named for its dual tRNA and mRNA-like properties. Its role is to liberate the mRNA from a stalled ribosome.
Source: RNAcentral
GGGGGCGACUGGUUUCGACAUGAUAUUUCUGAGGGAAGAAGCAGGUCGAGGUCGCCUUACCUCGUUAAACAGGGGCAAAGACGCUUAGGCGCCAACAAUGAUUUCGCACUCGCUGCCUAAAUAGUGCAGCGACGCCGACCCGGUGGAUGUCCCCGCUACCGGUAAGGCGCCACUUAAGGGGACUGCCACGACGGCCGCGGGCGGCAUGACGUCGUGAAAGAUCGGACCGCCAUGGUUCCAGCGCCGCGCGUCAUCAGGUAACGCUGGCACCGAGACUCCACUGGUGACUGAGCCUGGAGAUGCUUCCCAGGGAGGUAUUGUGGACCGGAGUUCGAUUCUCCGCGCCUCCACCA